AUGUACAGCCUGAGAAGGAGAAGCGCUAUCCGCUGCCACCGUCGGUGCUCCGCGGUUGCAUCAACCCUUCAGUUUGCCAGGAUUGGUUUCUGCGAUUUCCCAAAAGAGGUUGCACCUUCGCUGAAUUUCCCUUUCCUCAGGCAGCUCAACCUAUGGCGGGUCUCCAUUUCUGAGGAUGUCUUCUCUGUGGUGCUCUCUGGCUGCCGUGUCUUGGGUAACUUAUAUCUGUCAGAGAUUCGUGAUGUUGAUUGCCUCAGCAUUAGCUCGCCAAGUCUCAGGAUCAUCGUCAUCAGCUAUUUGUUUGAGGGCAAAGGAGAAUUGCUCAUUAAGGAGGCCCCUUGCCUUGUAAGGUUGCUAUUAAGUUGUCCAGGCGGUGAGAUUAUUCGGGUUCUUAGGGCGCCUAAAUUGGAGAUGUUGGGCCUUUUGUCUCCCUGCAUUUCAGAAAUUGAUAUUGCUAAUAUAGUCUUCAAGGGAUCGAUCCCAUCCAGGUCUGAAAACCCAAUAUGCACUGUAAAGGUUUUGGCUCUCCAUUUCUCGAGGCCUAAUUUGGAUGCAGUUCUUGACGUCCUUAGAUGCUUCCCCUGCUUGGAAAAGCUCUAUGUCAUUUGGGACGAUUAUGUGAAGGCAGAGAUGAAAAAUGUGCGUCAGUAUGAGCCACUAGAUCCGAUCAAAUGCCUUGAGAGCCAUCUCAAAGUACUGGUGCUGAUAAAUUACAAAGGUGGUGAGGAAGAUGUUGGAUUUGCAAAGUUCUUCGUUUUGAAUGCGGAAGUGGUAAAGGAAAUCAACUUUGGAGUGUGUAAGAAUAUUGAUAUUGACAUGAAAUGGAUGACCGACCAACUCAUGCUGCUAGAAGCGGAAAAUAGAGCUUCUCAAGACGCCCGAUUGAAAUUUGGAAGCAGUUCUGCUAGUUGGUUUGGCAGUUUGGAUACCCGGGACCUGUCAAUUGCCGACCCUUUCAGCUAUUGUUUUGUAGAUAGGGCAGACGCCCUUUCAGAAGCAUAUCUGUGA
This 1008-nucleotide ribosomal RNA is filed under the name Triticum aestivum (bread wheat). Its description in RNAcentral is "partial small subunit ribosomal RNA". The record is from RNAcentral. Lineage: Eukaryota; Viridiplantae; Streptophyta; Magnoliopsida; Poales; Poaceae.